RNAcentral lists this unclassified non-coding RNA (399 nucleotides) under soil metagenome. RNAcentral describes it as "partial contains 5.8S ribosomal RNA, internal transcribed spacer 2, and large subunit ribosomal RNA". The stretch from base 1 to 120 matches the Rfam family "5.8S ribosomal RNA", at positions 35 to 154 of the family's 154-position model. The record is from RNAcentral.
GAUGAAGAACGUAGCGAAAUGUGAUACUUGGUGUGAAUUGCAGAAUCCCGUGAACCAUCGAGUCUUUGAACGCAAGUUGCGCCCGAAGCCUCGGCUAAGGGCACGUCUGCCUGGGCGUCACGCAUCGCGUCUCCCCCAAACCGCCAAGGCGGAGGGGAAGGAAGAUGGCUUCCCGUGCCUCACCCGGCGCGGUUGGCCUAAAUUUGGAGCCCGCGGCACUUAGCUCACGCGGCGAUAGGUGGUGAACAAGGCCUUGGCCGUGCAAACAACCCGCUGCGAAGCUCUAUGUCACGUGCGCUCGUCGGACCCUUUGAAGUUGCCUUCGGUGACUUAAAACCUUUGCGACCCCAGGUCAGGCGGGGCUACCCGCUGAAUUUAAGCAUAUCAAUAAGCGGAGGA